This is a non-coding RNA of Aedes albopictus (Asian tiger mosquito), 118 nucleotides long. Lineage: Eukaryota; Metazoa; Arthropoda; Insecta; Diptera; Culicidae. The record is from Rfam.
UGCCCAGGAACUCCUAUCCCUACCUCCACGCGGUACCGGCCGGAAGCUAUGAGCAACCUUAGGGAAGAUCGGGUAACCAACCCCGGUGGGAACUUUGGUCGUAGGCUGACAGGGAAGG